GCUCAGGAGGCAGGAAUCACAGAACAGCCAUUAUUUUUUACCACUCCACAAAAAUUCUACAUUUAGAAAGCAGAUUUGCAGCUCGGAAAGCCUGAAUCCGAAUCCUCCAGAAAUGCCAUUAAAUCACACCAAUUAAGCUGGACCAACUAAAUGCCCCUGUCACUGCUCUCUGCACACUCAAGGACUACCAGCCUAGAUGGAGGCCAUGAGAACCUGGAGGCUGGGGCCACGGAGCUGGCUGCAAAGCCGGAAGAGGCAGGAAAUUCUGCCUUAUAAACCUUAGCACACACCCUUCGAGCAUAGGUUCCCAUCAAGAUCUGGUCGAGCGGGGUGGAUCGAGUCUGUUGUUUUUACGCUCAUUGCCUGAUUUCUUGCGGGCACUCUGACUGUCUGUAGAUGCAAUCUACGGAGGAAAGAGCAUGUGAAGAAGAAACCUCCACCUUUCACAAAGAUGCUCACCCUUGGAAUCAAGCUGCCAUAUUGUGAGGAAGCUCAGGCUACAUGGAGCUGUCACAUGGGUCUGGCCAAGACAGUCCAGCCAACCUCUCAGCCAACAGCUAGCAUCAAAGCCCAGAAUGAUGAGGGAGCAAGCCUUUGGAUGAUUCCAGCAACCAGCUUUUGAGCUGCCCCCACUGAGAUUCCAUGGUGGCACCUGGUGGCACAGAGACAAGCUGCCCCACCACGCCCUUUCUGAAUUCCUG
RNAcentral lists this long non-coding RNA (701 nucleotides) under Homo sapiens (human). RNAcentral describes it as "HSALNT0365585". The record is from RNAcentral. Lineage: Eukaryota; Metazoa; Chordata; Mammalia; Primates; Hominidae.